Long non-coding RNA from Lontra canadensis (Northern American river otter), 270 nucleotides. RefSeq lists it as uncharacterized. The record is from RefSeq and is a predicted model, not a curated record. The transcript is spliced from 4 exons. Lineage: Eukaryota; Metazoa; Chordata; Mammalia; Carnivora; Mustelidae.
UAGGAUAAUGCCUUCAAGGUCAUCCAUAUGUUGCAAAUGGAUUCUCUCAAUGGUGUCCAGUUCUUAUUAUUCUUGGAGGGAGAGCAAAAGUCAGGAACAACCUAUGUCAUCAUCUUCGUGACAUCACUUCCCACCUCGUGUAUUUGAGGGAAGAAAGAAGCCCUUGGAUAAUCUUCUUAAGCACCUCAAAAAAGACUAUUUCCUGUCAGGGAAGACAGCAAGAAUGAGAGAGCAAGACAUGAAGAUGGAGAUCACAAAUAGGCAGAGAGA